Molecule: ribosomal RNA, 460 nt
Filed under: uncultured bacterium
Lineage: Bacteria
Description: partial 16S ribosomal RNA
Rfam family: Bacterial small subunit ribosomal RNA
Source: RNAcentral
CCUACGGGUGGCAGCAGUGAGGAAUAUUGGUCAAUGGGCGCGAGCCUGAACCAGCCAAGUAGCGUGAAGGAUGACUGCCCUACGGGUUGUAAACUUCGUUUAUAAAGGAAUAAAGUGAGGCACGUGGGCCUUUUUGUAUGUACGGUAUGAGUAAGGAUCGGCUAACUCCGUGCCAGCAGCCGCGGUAAUACGGAGGAUCCGAGCGUUAUCCGGAUUUAGUGGGUUUAAAGGGAACGUAAAUGGGUUGUUAAGUCAGUGGUGAAAGUUUGCGGCUCAACCGUAAAAUUGCAAUUGAUACUGGCAGUCUUGAGUACAGUUGAGGUAGGCGGAAUUCGUGGUGUAGCGGUGAAAUGCUUAGAUAUCACGAAGAACUCCGAUUGCGAAGGCAGCUUACUAAACUGCCACUGACAUUGAUGCUCGAAAGUGUGGGUAUCAAACAGGAUUAGAUACCCCUGUAGUC